RNAcentral lists this long non-coding RNA (383 nucleotides) under Jatropha curcas. RNAcentral's name for it is "long non-coding RNA (JCUR_LNC000475)". The record is from RNAcentral. Lineage: Eukaryota; Viridiplantae; Streptophyta; Magnoliopsida; Malpighiales; Euphorbiaceae.
GUCGACAUUGGAGUCUUUAUGUGGAGAAUACGAACUAGAAGAGGAAAACAGAGAGAGAGAGGCAUUCACUGCUUCUUCCAUUUGGAGAUUAAAAGCUAAGUCGAGAUCAGAGUGCAGGGUUUUGGCGUCGGCAAUUUCACGGCGUUGCAGGUCAAGUAUGGAAUCUAGAGAGUCUUCGCUCGAGUCGAGAUCAGAGUGCAGGGUUUUGGCAUCGGCGAUUUCACGGCGUUGCAGGUCAAGUAUGGAAUCGAGAGAGUCUUCGCUCGAGUCGAGAACAAGCUUUCCCUUGUGGGAUUGCUCAGGCUCAGAAUUGUCUAUCCCUUCAUUCAUUUCUGGGACUUGAAAGUGGACUCUCUUCCGCUUUUCUCGCAUUUUUUGGCUGG